UACGGGGGGGGCAAGCGUUGUUCGGAAUUACUGGGCGUAAAGGGCUCGUAGGCGGCCAACUAAGUCAGACGUGAAAUCCCUCGGCUUAACCGGGGAACUGCGUCUGAUACUGGAUGGCUUGAGGUUGGGAGAGGGACGCGGAAUUCCAGGUGUAGCGGUGAAAUGCGUAGAUAUCUGGAGGAACACCGGUGGCGAAGGCGGCAUCCUGGACCAAUUCUGACGCUGAGGAGCGAAAGCCAGGGGAGCAAACGGG
RNAcentral lists this ribosomal RNA (253 nucleotides) under uncultured bacterium. Its description in RNAcentral is "partial 16S ribosomal RNA". It matches the Rfam family "Bacterial small subunit ribosomal RNA", at positions 524 to 776 of the family's 1533-position model. The record is from RNAcentral.